UUAAAAAACCAUCUGAUUGUUUCUCUCUGAGGCAUUUCGUCGAACACAUGGGAGACAUGAAACAACCACGCCUCAACGACGGAUACGACGAGCCACAACCACCACACCUCAACGGCGGUUACGACGGGCCACCACAACCACACCUCAACCGCGGAUUCGACGGGCCACCACAACCACACCUCAACCGGGGAUACGACGGGCCACCACCACCACACCUCAACGGCGGAUACUACGGUCCACAACAACCACACCUCAACGGCGGAUACUACGGGCCACCGAUUCCUCCGCCGCCGCCUAAACCCAAGCGCCGAUACAAAGCCCCCGGAUGCUGCUGCUUGAGCUGCAUGUGCAGCUGCUUCGGAAGCUGCCUACGCUGCUGCGGCUGCUGCAUCCUCA
RNAcentral lists this long non-coding RNA (396 nucleotides) under Brassica rapa (field mustard). RNAcentral describes it as "long non-coding RNA (BRAP_LNC003901)". Lineage: Eukaryota; Viridiplantae; Streptophyta; Magnoliopsida; Brassicales; Brassicaceae. The record is from RNAcentral.